This 404-nucleotide ribosomal RNA is filed under the name Actinomycetes bacterium. Its description in RNAcentral is "Actinobacteria bacterium partial 16S ribosomal RNA". It matches the Rfam family "Bacterial small subunit ribosomal RNA", at positions 355 to 776 of the family's 1533-position model. The record is from RNAcentral. Lineage: Bacteria; Bacillati; Actinomycetota; Actinomycetes.
UGGGGAAUAUUGGACAAUGGGCGCAAGCCUGAUCCAGCCAUGCCGCGUGAGUGAUGAAGGCCCUAGGGUUGUAAAGCUCUUUCACCGGUGAAGAUAAUGACGGUAACCGGAGAAGAAGCCCCGGCUAACUUCGUGCCAGCAGCCGCGGUAAUACGAAGGGGGCUAGCGUUGUUCGGAUUUACUGGGCGUAAAGCGCACGUAGGCGGACUAUUAAGUCAGGGGUGAAAUCCCGGGGCUCAACCCCGGAACUGCCUUUGAUACUGGUAGUCUUGAGUUCGAGAGAGAUGAGUUGUAUUCCGAGUGUAGAGGUGAAACACGUAGACAUUCGGAGGAACACCAGUGGCGAAGGCGGCUCACUGGCCCGAUACUGACGCAGAGGUGCGAAAGAGUGGGGAGCAAACAGG